Molecule: ribosomal RNA, 502 nt
Filed under: uncultured bacterium
Lineage: Bacteria
Description: bacterial SSU rRNA
Rfam family: Bacterial small subunit ribosomal RNA
Source: RNAcentral
AGAGUUUGAUCCUGGCUCAGAUUGAACGCUGGCGGCAUGCCUUACACAUGCAAGUCGAACGGUAACGGGCCUUCGGGUGCCGACGAGUGGCGAACGGGUGAGUAAUGCAUCGGAACGUACCUUUCAGUGGGGGAUAACGUAGCGAAAGUUACGCUAAUACCGCAUAUUCUGUGCGCAGGAAAGCGGGGGAUCGCAAGACCUUGCGCUGAUUGAGCGGCCGAUGUCAGAUUAGCUAGUUGGUGAGGUAAAGGCUCACCAAGGCGACGAUCUGUAGCGGGUCUGAGAGGAUGAUCCGCCACACUGGAACUGAGACACGGUCCAGACUCCUACGGGAGGCAGCAGUGGGGAAUUUUGGACAAUGGGGGCAACCCUGAUCCAGCCAUGCCGCGUGAGUGAAGAAGGCCUUCGGGUUGUAAAGCUCUUUCGGCCGGGAAGAAAUCGCAUGGGCUAAUACCCUGUGCGGAUGACGGUACCGGCAUAAGAAGCACCGGCUAACUACGUG